UGUUACUCCUUGAGGCUUUUGGACAAGUAUGUCUAUACAUGGAAAAAAUAUGAAUAGUAGACUCACCUCAAAUAAAUUCCCAGGGGUGCUUCAAAUCUCCAUGAGAGAUGGAGUUUCACUCUUGUUGCCCAGGCUGGAGUGCAAUGGUGUGAUCUCAGCUCACGGCAACUGCUGUCUCCUGGGUUCAAGCGAUUCUCCUGCCUCAGCCUCCCAUGCAGCUGGAAUUACAGGCAUGUGCCA
Molecule: long non-coding RNA, 240 nt
Organism: Symphalangus syndactylus (siamang)
Lineage: Eukaryota; Metazoa; Chordata; Mammalia; Primates; Hylobatidae
Source: RefSeq, a predicted model, not a curated record